Molecule: ribosomal RNA, 451 nt
Filed under: uncultured bacterium
Lineage: Bacteria
Description: partial 16S ribosomal RNA
Rfam family: Bacterial small subunit ribosomal RNA
Source: RNAcentral
GUGGGGAAUAUUGGACAAUGGGGGGAACCCUGAUCCAGCCAUGCCGCGUGUGUGAAGAAGGCCUUUUGGUUGUAAAGCACUUUAAGCGAGGAGGAGGCUACUCUAGUUAAUACCUGGGGAUAGUGGACGUUACUCGCAGAAUAAGCACCGGCUAACUCUGUGCCAGCAGCCGCGGUAAUACAGAGGGUGCGAGCGUUAAUCGGAUUUACUGGGCGUAAAGCGUGCGUAGGCGGCCAAUUAAGUCAAAUGUGAAAUCCCCGAGCUUAACUUGGGAAUUGCAUUCGAUACUGGUUGGCUAGAGUAUGUGAGAGGAUGGUAGAAUUCCAGGUGUAGCGGUGAAAUGCGUAGAGAUCUGGAGGAAUACCGAUGGCGAAGGCAGCCAUCUGGCCUAAUACUGACACUGAGGUGCGAAAGCAUGGGGAGCAAACAGGAUUAGAUACCCUAGUAGUCC